AGAGAUCCGUAUGGGCUUAUAGUUUAAUUGGUUGAAACGUACCGCUCACAACGGUGAUAUUGUAGGUUCGAGCCCUACUAAGCCUAUG
Molecule: transfer RNA, 88 nt
Filed under: Helianthus annuus (common sunflower)
Lineage: Eukaryota; Viridiplantae; Streptophyta; Magnoliopsida; Asterales; Asteraceae
Description: tRNA-Val
Rfam family: tRNA (bases 13-86)
About the family: Transfer RNA (tRNA) molecules are approximately 80 nucleotides in length. Their secondary structure includes four short double-helical elements and three loops (D, anti-codon, and T loops). Further hydrogen bonds mediate the characteristic L-shaped molecular structure. tRNAs have two regions of fundamental functional importance: the anti-codon, which is responsible for specific mRNA codon recognition, and the 3' end, to which the tRNAs corresponding amino acid is attached (by aminoacyl-tRNA synthetases). tRNAs cope with the degeneracy of the genetic code in two manners: having more than one tRNA (with a specific anti-codon) for a particular amino acid; and 'wobble' base-pairing, i.e. permitting non-standard base-pairing at the 3rd anti-codon position.
Source: RNAcentral